CGGUAACAGAGAUAGCUUGCUAUCUGCUGACGAGCGGCGGACGGGUGAGUAAUGCUUGGGAAUAUGCCUUUGAGUGGGGGACAACAGUUGGAAACGACUGCUAAUACCGCAUAACGUCUACGGACCAAAGGGGGGGAUGCUUCGGCACCUCUCGCUCAUUGAUUAGCCCAAGUGAGAUUAGCUAGUUGGUAAGGUAAUGGCUUACCAAGGCGACGAUCUCUAGCUGGUUUGAGAGGAUGAUCAGCCACACUGGGACUGAGACACGGCCCAGACUCCUACGGGAGGCAGCAGUGGGGAAUAUUGCACAAUGGGCGAAAGCCUGAUGCAGCCAUGCCGCGUGUGUGAAGAAGGCCUUCGGGUUGUAAAGCACUUUCAGCGAGGAGGAAAGGGUGUUGUUUAAUACGCAACAUCUGUGACGUUACUCGCAGAAGAAGCACCGGCUAACUUCGUGCCAGCAGCCGCGGUAAUACGAGGGGUGCAAGCGUUAAUCGGAAUUACUGGGCGUAAAGCGUGCGUAGGUGGUUUGUUAAGCAAGAUGUGAAAGCCCCGGGCUCAACCUGGGAACUGCAUUUUGAACUGGCAAACUAGAGUAUUGUAGAGGGUAGUGGAAUUUCCAGUGUAGCGGUGAAAUGCGUAGAGAUUGGAAGGAACAUCAGUGGCGAAGGCGGCUACCUGGACAAAUACUGACACUGAGGCACGAAAGCGUGGGGAGCAAACAGG
Molecule: ribosomal RNA, 720 nt
Filed under: gamma proteobacterium GM39
Lineage: Bacteria; Pseudomonadati; Pseudomonadota; Gammaproteobacteria
Description: bacterial SSU rRNA
Rfam family: Bacterial small subunit ribosomal RNA
Source: RNAcentral